Molecule: transfer RNA, 71 nt
Filed under: Mucilaginibacter pankratovii
Lineage: Bacteria; Pseudomonadati; Bacteroidota; Sphingobacteriia; Sphingobacteriales; Sphingobacteriaceae
Description: Mucilaginibacter sp. ZT4R22 tRNA-Cys
Rfam family: tRNA
About the family: Transfer RNA (tRNA) molecules are approximately 80 nucleotides in length. Their secondary structure includes four short double-helical elements and three loops (D, anti-codon, and T loops). Further hydrogen bonds mediate the characteristic L-shaped molecular structure. tRNAs have two regions of fundamental functional importance: the anti-codon, which is responsible for specific mRNA codon recognition, and the 3' end, to which the tRNAs corresponding amino acid is attached (by aminoacyl-tRNA synthetases). tRNAs cope with the degeneracy of the genetic code in two manners: having more than one tRNA (with a specific anti-codon) for a particular amino acid; and 'wobble' base-pairing, i.e. permitting non-standard base-pairing at the 3rd anti-codon position.
Source: RNAcentral
AGUCGUGUGGCCGAGAGGAUAGGUAUGGGUCUGCAAAACCUUCAACGGUAGUUCGAAUCUACCCACGACGU